This 502-nucleotide ribosomal RNA is filed under the name uncultured bacterium. RNAcentral's name for it is "bacterial SSU rRNA". It matches the Rfam family "Bacterial small subunit ribosomal RNA", at positions 29 to 523 of the family's 1533-position model. The record is from RNAcentral.
AAUGAACGCUGGCGGCGCGCCUAAUACAUGCAAGUCGAGCGAGAAGACGUAGCAAUACGUUUGUAAAGCGGCGAACGGGUGAGGAAUACAUGGGUAACCUACCCUAGAGUGGGGAAUAACUAGCCGAAAGGUUAGCUAAUACCGCGUACGCUCCUUGGACUUCGGUUCAGGGAGGAAAGCGAUGCCGAGGGUAUCGCGCUCUUGGAUGGGCUCAUGUCCUAUCAGCUUGUUGGGAGGUAACGGCUCACCAAGGCUUCGACGGGUAGCUGGUCUGAGAGGACGAUCAGCCACACUGGCACUGCGACACGGGCCAGACUCCUACGGGAGGCAGCAGUAAGGAAUAUUGCGCAAUGGGCGAAAGCCUGACGCAGCGACGCCGCGUGGGGGAUGAAGGUCUUCGGAUUGUAAACCCCUUUCGGGAGGGAAGAUGGAAUGGGGUAACUCAUUCGGACGGUACCUCCAGAAGCAGCCACGGCUAACUUCGUGCCAGCCGCCGCCGUAA